UACGGAGGGUGCAAGCGUUAAUCGGAAUUACUGGGCGUAAAGCGCACGCAGGUGGCUGAGUCAGUCGAUUGUGAAAGCCCUGGGCUUAACCUGGGAAUUGCAGUCGAUACUACUCAGCUAGAGUAUGGGAGAGGGUAGUGGAAUUCCUAGUGUAGCGGUGAAAUGCGUAGAGAUUAGGAAGAACACCAGUGGCGAAGGCGGCUACCUGGACCGAUAUUGACGCUGAGACGCAAAAGCGUGGGGAGCAAACAGG
Molecule: ribosomal RNA, 253 nt
Filed under: uncultured bacterium
Lineage: Bacteria
Description: partial 16S ribosomal RNA
Rfam family: Bacterial small subunit ribosomal RNA
Source: RNAcentral